RNAcentral lists this transfer RNA (72 nucleotides) under Deltaproteobacteria bacterium. RNAcentral describes it as "tRNA-Val". It matches the Rfam family "tRNA". From Rfam's summary of the family: Transfer RNA (tRNA) molecules are approximately 80 nucleotides in length. The record is from RNAcentral. RNAcentral also lists the same sequence under 1 other name. Lineage: Bacteria; Pseudomonadati; Myxococcota; Myxococcia.
GGGCGGUUAGCUCAGCGGGAGAGCAUCGGCCUUACAAGCCGGGGGUCGGCGGUUCAAAUCCGCCACCGCCCA